This 280-nucleotide long non-coding RNA is filed under the name Dasypus novemcinctus (nine-banded armadillo). RNAcentral describes it as "lncRNA (ENSDNOG00000050216.1)". The record is from RNAcentral. Lineage: Eukaryota; Metazoa; Chordata; Mammalia; Cingulata; Dasypodidae.
AAAGAACAGUCAGACGAUCAGAGUAUCUGAAUUCUAAUCCCAGGACUUUAUGUAAUGUCUUUUGAGCUUUAGUUUUCUUACCUGUAGAAGGAGGGUAGGAAUAGCUGCUCUUUCCACCUCACAGAGUUGCUGCAAGGAAAUAAGAAACAAUCCAGGAUGUGGUUUAUGCAGGUUUCUCUCUCCCUGGAGACGGAGGCAUCACACAGCAUUUCACUCAGCUGUGUGGCUGAGCACUGACAAACUCAAUUUAAGAAAGGCAAGAGUGAGUUGACACCAUGCU